UACGAAGGGGGCUAGCGUUGCUCGGAAUCACUGGGCGUAAAGGGUGCGUAGGCGGGUCUUUAAGUCAGGGGUGAAAUCCUGGAGCUCAACUCCAGAACUGCCUUUGAUACUGAAGAUCUUGAGUUCGGGAGAGGUGAGUGGAACUGCGAGUGUAGAGGUGAAAUUCGUAGAUAUUCGCAGGAACACCAGUGGCGAAGGCGGCUUACUGGUCCAUUACUGACGCUGAGGUGCGAAAAGCGUGGGGAGCAACAGGG
RNAcentral lists this ribosomal RNA (254 nucleotides) under uncultured bacterium. Its description in RNAcentral is "partial 16S ribosomal RNA". It matches the Rfam family "Bacterial small subunit ribosomal RNA", at positions 524 to 776 of the family's 1533-position model. The record is from RNAcentral.